CCUACGGGGGGCAGCAGUGAGGAAUAUUGGUCAAUGGCCGCAGGGCUGAACCAGCCAAGUCGCGUGAGGGAUGACGGUCCUAUGGAUUGUAAACCUCUUUUGUCAGGGAGCAAAGGGCGCCACGUGUGGCGCUUUGCGAGUACCUGAAGAAAAAGCAUCGGCUAACUCCGUGCCAGCAGCCGCGGUAAUACGGAGGAAGCGAGCGUUAUCCGGAUUUAUUGGGUUUAAAGGGUGCGCAGGCGGAAUGUCAAGUCAGCGGUAAAAUUUCGGGGCUCAACCCCGUCGUGCCGUUGAAACUGGCGUUCUUGAGUGAGCGAGAAGUAUGCGGAAUGCGUGGUGUAGCGGUGAAAUGCAUAGAUAUCACGCAGAACUCCGAUUGCGAAGGCAGCAUACCGGCGCUCAACUGACGCUCAUGCACGAAAGCGUGGGGAUCGAACAGGAUUAGAUACCCCUGUAGUC
RNAcentral lists this ribosomal RNA (459 nucleotides) under uncultured bacterium. Its description in RNAcentral is "partial 16S ribosomal RNA". It matches the Rfam family "Bacterial small subunit ribosomal RNA", at positions 338 to 795 of the family's 1533-position model. The record is from RNAcentral.